Molecule: ribosomal RNA, 395 nt
Filed under: Pselionema sp. 44L27G15
Lineage: Eukaryota; Metazoa; Nematoda; Chromadorea; Plectida; Ceramonematidae
Description: bacterial SSU rRNA
Rfam family: Eukaryotic small subunit ribosomal RNA
Source: RNAcentral
CAAAGAUUAAGCCAUGCAUGUCUAAGCACAAGCCGAAAAACGGUGAAGCCGCGAAUGGCUCAUUACAACAGCCGUAGUUUCUUGGAUCUUUCUAUCCUACUUGGAUAACUGUGGUAAUUCUAGAGCUAAUACAUGCCAGAAAGCGCUGACUUUGCAGUCAGAGCGCAUUUAUUAGAUCAAAACCAAUCGGCUUCGGCCGUCGUUUGGUGAAUCUGAAUAACUCGGUAGAUCGCACGGUCCUCGCACCGGCGACGCAUCUUUCAAGUGUCUGCCUUAUCAACUUUCGAUGGUAGUUUAUGUGCCUACCAUGGUUGUAACGGGUAACGGAGAAUCAGGGUUCGACUCCGGAGAGGGAGCCUGAGAAACGGCUACCACAUCCAAGGAAGGCAGCAGGC